GACGAACGCUGGCGGCGUGCUUAACACAUGCAAGUCGAACGAUGAACCGGUUUCGGCCGGGGAUUAGUGGCGAACGGGUGAGUAACACGUGGGCAAUCUGCCCUGCACUCUGGGAUAAGCCCGGGAAACUGGGUCUAAUACCGGAUACGACACUCCGAGGCAUCUUGGGGUGUGGAAAGUUCCGGCGGUGCAGGAUGAGCCCGCGGCCUAUCAGCUUGUUGGUGGGGUAAUGGCCUACUAAGGCGACGACGGGUAGCCGGCCUGAGAGGGUGACCGGCCACACGGGGACUGAGAAACGGCCCAGACGCCAACGGGAGGCAGCAGGGGGGAAUAUGGCACAAGGGGCGAAAGCCUGAGGCAGCGACGCCGGGUGAGGGAGGACGGCCUUCGGGUGGGAAACCUCUUUCAGCAGGGAAGAAGCGAAAGGGACGGAACCGGCAGAAGAAGCACCGGCAAACUACGG
This 463-nucleotide ribosomal RNA is filed under the name uncultured bacterium. Its description in RNAcentral is "partial 16S ribosomal RNA". It matches the Rfam family "Bacterial small subunit ribosomal RNA", at positions 28 to 506 of the family's 1533-position model. The record is from RNAcentral.